RNAcentral lists this ribosomal RNA (1092 nucleotides) under Triticum aestivum (bread wheat). Its description in RNAcentral is "partial small subunit ribosomal RNA". Lineage: Eukaryota; Viridiplantae; Streptophyta; Magnoliopsida; Poales; Poaceae. The record is from RNAcentral.
AUGUGGCCGCCGAGAGCCUGGCCCGUCCAUAGUAGCCGGAAACAGGGAACGGUAGGCCGUCCCUCGAUCCCGAUUCAUUGUCCCAGAAUCGGAUUCGGGAACGAGGUCGGAUUCGGUACGAUUCAAUGGAGAUUCGGCGUCCCCACAGCCUGCUCCUCGAUUCAGGUUCGAGGAUCCAACAGCCAAAACGCGAGGCAUAAUUUACUCACGCUGUCGUUCAUUUUCUCAAGGACUCCUCUUUCUUCCUCCAGUCCAUUAAUUGCAAGUGAUCCAUUAACAUCAAGGAAUGCUGACCGUCAAGGAGUCGUCGUUCUUCAGGAACUGCGUUCCUCGACCCAUGGUACCGUACCGGGUUCAUCGUACCCAAACGAAUUGGAUCGCGUCCCUGCUAUAAAAAAAUCGUUCGAGAGAUGUAUACCCUCGUUGUACCCUAUUUUUUUCAAUCACCGACUCUCGUCCCUCGUUCCCGUUCCUCGUUCCCACCGUACCGGAAACAUGGCAACUAUGGGCCCGUCUCGAAGCCCAGCCCGCAGAUGUGCCAGUCGUGCUGCUGCCUGUGCCUGUCCUCGCGCCUUUGCCACUCCCGGAUGGCCCUGGCGGCGCCGACGCCGAGCUCCAGCCCGUGCCGACCCCGGUGGUGGGUGGUCCGGUGCGCCCGCCCAGCGCCUGGAACGUCUCGAAGGCCCGGCCGCACGUCUUGCAGACGAACUCCCCCUCCCCCGACAUCGCCACCACCCUCCCCCGCCGUGUCCUCUUCUUUGCCGCCGGCGCACCGGUGCCAGAGUCGUCCGAGUCGUGGUCGACACCGAGGAGUCCGUGCUCAGGGACAGCGCCAGCGAAACAAUCGGCUCCUCCUCCCUCGCGCGCUUCAUCCCCGCUCCCAUGGAGAUGAAUUUGCUGCUCCUCUUGAUGAUCUGCUGGAUUUUGGUUGAUGCUCUUUUCUUUUGCGUUGCUGUAGUUCCGCGAGAGGCUGCCGCACUUAUAUAUAGGUUGUGUAGCUGGCAUGCGUGUUGCUGCCGGGGGAGCUUACGUGUGUGCCAACUUGGCCUACCUCUGGCGUCUGCGGAAGCCACCACGACGUUCGCGACGUGA